RNAcentral lists this ribosomal RNA (247 nucleotides) under uncultured bacterium. RNAcentral describes it as "partial 16S ribosomal RNA". It matches the Rfam family "Bacterial small subunit ribosomal RNA", at positions 84 to 334 of the family's 1533-position model. The record is from RNAcentral.
GACGCUGACGAGUGGCGAACGGGUGAGUAAUACAUCGGAACGUGCCCAGUCGUGGGGGAUAACUACUCGAAAGAGUAGCUAAUACCGCAUACGAUCUGAGGAUGAAAGCGGGGGACCUUCGGGCCUCGCGCGAUUGGAGCGGCCGAUGGCAGAUUAGGUAGUUGGUGGGAUAAAAGCUUACCAAGCCGACGAUCUGUAGCUGGUCUGAGAGGACGACCAGCCACACUGGGACUGAGACACGGCCCAG